This is a non-coding RNA of Entomophthora muscae, 72 nucleotides long. The record is from the annotation of a GenBank genome assembly. Lineage: Eukaryota; Fungi; Entomophthoromycota; Entomophthoromycetes; Entomophthorales; Entomophthoraceae.
GCCUGUGUGGCCAAGUGGUAAGGCGUCUGUCUUGUAAACAGAAGAGCAGUGGUUCGAUUCCGCUCUCGGGCA